This 443-nucleotide ribosomal RNA is filed under the name uncultured bacterium. RNAcentral describes it as "bacterial SSU rRNA". It matches the Rfam family "Bacterial small subunit ribosomal RNA", at positions 28 to 451 of the family's 1533-position model. The record is from RNAcentral.
GAUGAACGCUGGCGGCGUGCUUAACACAUGCAAGUCGAACGAAGCACUUUAUUUGAUUUCCUUCGGGACUGAUUAUUUUGUGACUGAGUGGCGGACGGGUGAGUAACGCGUGGGUAACCUGCCUUGUACAGGGGGAUAACAGUUGGAAACGGCUGCUAAUACCGCAUAAGCGCACGGCAUCGCAUGAUGCAGUGUGAAAAACUCCGGUGGUAUAAGAUGGACCCGCGUUGGAUUAGCUAGUUGGUGAGGUAACGGCCCACCAAGGCGACGAUCCAUAGCCGACCUGAGAGGGUGACCGGCCACAUUGGGACUGAGACACGGCCCAAACUCCUACGGGAGGCAGCAGUGGGGAAUAUUGUACAAUGGGCGAAAGCCUGAUGCAGCGACGCCGCGUGAGCGAAGAAGUAUUUCGGUAUGUAAAGCUCUAUCAGCAGGGAAGAUAA